CCUACGGGAGGCUGCAGUGGGGAAUAUUGGACAAUGGGGGGAACCCUGAUCCAGCCAUGCCGCGUGUGUGAAGAAGGCCCUCGGGUUGUAAAGCACUUCAGUGAGGAAGAACGCCUGGUGGUUAAUACCCAUCAGGAAAGACAUCACUCACAGAAGAAGCACCGGCUAACUCCGUGCCAGCAGCCGCGGUAAUACGGAGGGUGCGAGCGUUAAUCGGAAUUACUGGGCGUAAAGCGCGCGUAGGUGGCUUGAUAAGCCGGUUGUGAAAGCCCCGGGCUCAACCUGGGAACGGCAUCCGGAACUGUCAAGCUAGAGUGCAGGAGAGGAAGGUAGAAUUCCCGGUGUAGCGGUGAAAUGCGUAGAGAUCGGGAGGAAUACCAGUGGCGAAGGCGGCCUUCUGGACUGACACUGACACUGAGGUGCGAAAGCGUGGGUAGCAAACAGGAUUAGAUACCCUUGUAGUC
This 464-nucleotide ribosomal RNA is filed under the name Vreelandella stevensii. RNAcentral's name for it is "partial 16S ribosomal RNA". It matches the Rfam family "Bacterial small subunit ribosomal RNA", at positions 338 to 795 of the family's 1533-position model. The record is from RNAcentral. Lineage: Bacteria; Pseudomonadati; Pseudomonadota; Gammaproteobacteria; Oceanospirillales; Halomonadaceae.